AGGAAGUGCCCUUGAGAUAUCUGAGGAUAUGAAGGGCAGCAUGCAUAUGAGGGACUCUGGGACAUUUCAGAAAUUGACUCAGAUGCUUAACAGCAAAACAGAUGUCAGGCCUAGUGUGAGUCAAAAAUAGGAGUUUACCAACAAGGCUCCUAUAUUGAUCAGGGGAGGUAGAUGUCAGGCCUAGUGUGAGUCAAAAAUAAGAGUUUACCAACAAGACUCCUAUAUUGAUCAGGGGAGGAGAAAGGAUCACCAGAAUCAGCAUGAAGUUUGACAUUAAUAUCCAAAGGACUAACAACA
Molecule: long non-coding RNA, 297 nt
Filed under: Nicotiana benthamiana
Lineage: Eukaryota; Viridiplantae; Streptophyta; Magnoliopsida; Solanales; Solanaceae
Description: long non-coding RNA (NBEN_LNC032406)
Source: RNAcentral